AUGGAUGCAGAAAAAAUGGAGUCGUAUGGCUGCAUAAAGCGGAAGAGCGGGAAGUGGCUCAACGACACUUGCUUCAUACCAGGCACCUGCAACGCACCCUGCAGAGACGAGGGCUUCGACAGUGGCCAUUGCAAGAACCUCUGGACAUGCAUCUGCUACAAGAACUGCACCGGCUUAUCCCUCUAG
This 186-nucleotide ribosomal RNA is filed under the name Triticum aestivum (bread wheat). RNAcentral describes it as "partial small subunit ribosomal RNA". Lineage: Eukaryota; Viridiplantae; Streptophyta; Magnoliopsida; Poales; Poaceae. The record is from RNAcentral.